RNA transcript from Cercocebus atys (sooty mangabey), 1052 nucleotides. It is a transcript of the gene named coatomer protein complex, subunit zeta 2, with no coding region annotated. The transcript is spliced from 10 exons. The record is from RefSeq and is a predicted model, not a curated record. NCBI's taxonomy places the organism in Eukaryota, Metazoa, Chordata, Mammalia, Primates, Cercopithecidae.
GGGCAGGAGGCGGGCGGCGCUGUCAGUGCGAGGCGGCGAGCGGAAUGCAGCGGCCCGAGGCCUGGCCACGUCCACACCCGGGGGAGGGGGCCGCGGCGGCCCAGGCCGGGGGCCCGGCGCCGCCUGCUCGAGCCGGGGAGCCCUCGGGGCUGCGGUUGCAGGAACCUUCCCUCUACACCAUCAAGGCUGUUUUCAUCCUAGAUAAUGACGGGCGCCGGCUGCUGGCCAAGUAUUAUGAUGACACAUUCCCCUCCAUGAAGGAGCAGAUGGUUUUCGAGAAAAAUGUCUUCAACAAGACCAGCCGGACUGAGAGUGAGAUUGCAUUUUUUGGGGGUAUGACCAUCGUCUACAAGAACAGCAUUGACCUCUUCCUAUACGUGGUGGGCUCAUCCUACGAGAAUGAGCUGAUGCUCAUGUCUGUUCUUACCUGCCUGUUUGAGUCUCUGAACCACAUGUUAAGGAAGAACGUGGAGAAGCGCUGGUUGCUGGAGAACAUGGACGGAGCCUUCUUGGUGCUGGACGAGAUUGUGGAUGGCGGUGUGAUUCUGGAGAGUGACCCCCAGCAAGUGAUCCAGAAGGUGAAUUUUAGGGCAGAUGAUGGCGGCUUGACUGAACAGAGUGUGGCCCAGGUCUCUCUGCUCAGACUAAUCCUGCUUGUAUGGAACUUCCUGCCUUGGCACUAACUCCUUGUGCUGUGGUGGCCCUACCGAGAUGAGCCUGUGCUGUCUCGUGUGGAGUUCCAGGUUCUUCAGUCUGCCAAGGAACAAAUUAAAUGGUCCUUAUUGAAAUGAAGGCUGUGGAUUCAAGGCUCCCUGCCCCCCAGACCAUUUCCCCAAUCCUGGCCAAAGCCCAGAGAUCCCACCGUCAGGAGAGACCCCUCUGCAUCCCCAGGUCCCUCCCGGAACUGAUUCCUAAGGUCUCCAGCCAGGGAUUCUGAGAUGCAAAGGUUUGGCCUCAGGAGAGUCACCUCUUCUCACUGCCUUGGCCUUAACUCAUACCUUAGGCAUUCCUGGCCCCAGGGCCCUAAUAAACCUGCUUUUGUCUUCUGCCAA